This 460-nucleotide ribosomal RNA is filed under the name uncultured bacterium. Its description in RNAcentral is "partial 16S ribosomal RNA". It matches the Rfam family "Bacterial small subunit ribosomal RNA", at positions 338 to 795 of the family's 1533-position model. The record is from RNAcentral.
CCUACGGGGGGCAGCAGUGAGGAAUAUUGGUCAAUGGGCGUGAGGCUGAACCAGCCAAGUCGCGUGAAGGAAGACGGCCCUAUGGGUUUUAAACUUCUUUUAUAAGGGAAUAAAGGUAUCCACGUGUGGAUAUUUGUAUGUACCCUAUGAAUAAGCAUCGGCUAAAUCCGUGCCAGCAGCCGCGGUAAUACGGAGGAUGCGAGCGUUAUCCGGAUUUAUUGGGUUUAAAGGGAGCGUAGGUUGUUUUUUAAGUCAGCGGUGAAAGUGUGUGGCUGAACCAUAAACUUGCCGUUGAAACUGGAAGACUUGAGUGUGCGUGGGGUACAUGGAAUGCGUGGUGUAGCGGUGAAAUGCUUAGAUAUCACGCAGAACUCCGAUCGCGAAGGCAGUUUACUGAGGCAUAACUGACACUGAAGCACGAAAGCGUGGGGAUCAAACAGGAUUAGAUACCCGUGUAGUC